RNAcentral lists this ribosomal RNA (74 nucleotides) under Streptomyces sp. CB02115. RNAcentral describes it as "partial 23S ribosomal RNA". Lineage: Bacteria; Bacillati; Actinomycetota; Actinomycetes; Kitasatosporales; Streptomycetaceae. The record is from RNAcentral.
AUAGGCCAGAUGUGGAAGCCCCGUAAGGGGUGGAGCUGACUGGUACUAAUAGGCCGAGGGCUUGUCCUCAGUUG